AGCGCAGGUGGGAAGACAAGUUGGAAGUGAAAUCUAUGGGCUCAACCCAUAAACUGCUUUCAAAACUGUUUUUCUUGAGUAGUGCAGAGGUAGGCGGAAUUCCCGGUGUAGCGGUGGAAUGCGUAGAUAUCGGGAGGAACACCAGUGGCGAAGGCGGCCUACUGGGCACCAACUGACGCUGAGGCUCGAAAGUGUGGGUAGCAAACA
This 207-nucleotide ribosomal RNA is filed under the name uncultured bacterium. RNAcentral describes it as "partial 16S ribosomal RNA". It matches the Rfam family "Bacterial small subunit ribosomal RNA", at positions 568 to 774 of the family's 1533-position model. The record is from RNAcentral.